UACAGAGGGUGCUAGCGUUGUUCGGAAUCAUUGGGCGUAAAGGGCGUGUAGGCGGUUUGCUAAGUCAUGUGUGAAAUCCCUCGGCUUAACCGGGGAACGACGCAUGAAACUGGCAAGCUAGAGUACCAAAGAGGGGGGUGGAAUUCCCGGUGUAGCGGUGAAAUGCGCAGAUAUCGGGAAGAACACCCGUGGCGAAGGCGGCUCUCUGGGACGGUACUGACGCUGAGACGCGAAAGCGUGGGUAGCAAACAGG
RNAcentral lists this ribosomal RNA (253 nucleotides) under uncultured bacterium. RNAcentral describes it as "partial 16S ribosomal RNA". It matches the Rfam family "Bacterial small subunit ribosomal RNA", at positions 524 to 776 of the family's 1533-position model. The record is from RNAcentral.